Molecule: non-coding RNA, 1401 nt
Organism: Phoenix dactylifera (date palm)
Lineage: Eukaryota; Viridiplantae; Streptophyta; Magnoliopsida; Arecales; Arecaceae
Source: RefSeq, a predicted model, not a curated record
CCGUUUUCCUGAAUGUCUUUCUUGGAAUCAUGAUGAUUGGUAUCAUUCUUGAAGUAUUUAUCUGUUCUGGUAUCAUUCUUUUUUUUUAAAGAGAUAAAUGGAAAAAAAAUGCAUCAAUGUCUGAAAGGAUAAAAUAAGCAUCAAAUUAACAAAGUUGCCAAAUGUGAUAGCUAAAAUUUACACUGUAUUAAUUUAACUCUGUGUCAUUGUGAUGAAAUGAAAUACAAGGAUAUUAUAACAAGUGUUCAUGCAAGCACACUAGUUUGUGGAUACUUGAGCAUAUGUCCUGGCUAGUCAAUGGAAUUUCUGCUCAUAUGCUGGAGGUAGCCACGCACCCUUCACUCCAAACGCCAGUCAGGUGAGUGUUCAAUGUGGUUGUGUGGCUAUAUUAUUGACCACUCGAUGUACCCUGAUCAGGAAGAUUAUUUCGGACUCCAAAUGUAGGAUGAUUAAGGACCACAAAGUAGUUUAUAUGCUAUAACUUUCUUCUUGUAAGACCACCUUUCAGACUACAUCAACAAGCUACUAUUUUCCUAAUUCCCUAUUCCUCUAUUUGAGAAAAGUAUGCAUGUAGGGGACGUCGUGUGAGAAACCAAAAGGUGAGAUUAUAAUGUUUUAUUUAGAUUUUUAAUUUGUAUUUUUUUGAAGGUGAGAUCAAAAGCUGGCAAAAAGAAUAGGAAAAAGCUUGAGUACAAUCAUUAUUCAGGAUCUCGGUCAUUUGUUGCAACAAUGACUAUACCGCCGGAGUUUAAUGGUUGUGAAAACCUAGAAUUUCCAGAAUUCUAUAAGCAAACUCAUACCAAGAAGAACAAAGAGUGGAUUGAUCCUAUUUGUGCCGUGAAACAUAGUUCUUAAAGAAAAGAGUGAGAGAUGGAGCGUGAGGAGCUGCGGAGGCAAUUGGAGCAGGAGAGAAGAGAGCGUGAGGAGGAAAGAGAAGAGCGAGAGGAAGAACAGAAGCAAAUUGCACAUCUUACAAGUUUGGUGAUAGAGUUCUAAAAGGAAAAGACUCAAACGCACAAGUCAUCUAUCCAUCAUGAUGGGGCCAUGUAUUCAACUGGUGGUACAAAUACUCGUUGAUACAUGGUGGAGUUAUGAGCAUAUGAAAUCUAGUUUUUGGUACAUGGAUAACUUUUGUUCAGAUGAUCAUGGUGGAGUUGUUUACAAGCAGAAUCAAGUUUUUGGUAUAAGAAUAUUUUUUUCUACAUGAUGGUGGUUUGGAUGAAUAGCAAGAUCAGAUAUUUUGGAAUUUUUAAUUUACAUUUUGAUGUAUUUGGUGAUGAUUAUCACCUUAACAUAUGGUAUGGAUGAAACAUUAUGAUGUAUGGUUAAUAGGUAUGCUUGACUUUAGACUUAUAAAUAAUGAUUUAUAAUGAAUGAUUAUGGAUUCUCCAACAUUGUGUA